AAGUCGUAACAAGGUUUCCGUAGGUGAACCUGCGGAAGGAUCAUUAACACUCUUUUUUCAAUGAAAGAGCUCAUUUUUUGAUUCUUUGUUUUUUCUUUUGAGAAACUUGGAUUCAAAUUAUGGGUAUUCACCCCCUUAUAUUGACGAACGAGGAAAAACAAUGAUUUUGUUUCAAAAGCAAAACUCAUAUUUUUCUAUCUUUUUUCUCUAUACCUUAUAUUUUUCAAAACCCCUUUUUUUACAAUAUGUCUUAGACUGAAUUGAAAAAUUAAGAUAAAUUAAAAAACAACUCUUAACAACGGAUAUCUUGGUUCUC
Molecule: unclassified non-coding RNA, 316 nt
Filed under: fungal sp.
Lineage: Eukaryota; Fungi
Description: partial internal transcribed spacer region
Rfam family: Eukaryotic small subunit ribosomal RNA (bases 1-46)
Source: RNAcentral